Molecule: ribosomal RNA, 253 nt
Filed under: uncultured bacterium
Lineage: Bacteria
Description: partial 16S ribosomal RNA
Rfam family: Bacterial small subunit ribosomal RNA
Source: RNAcentral
UACGUAGGGUCCGAGCGUUGUCCGGAAUUACGGGGCGUAAAGCGCGCGCAGGCGGCUUCCCAAGCGCCACGUGAAAGCCCCGGGCUCAACCCGGGAGGGUCGCGGCGAACUGGGAGGCUUGAGGCCGGUAGAGGUGGGUGGAACUCCUGGUGGAGUGGUGAAAUGCGUAGAGAUCAGGAAGAACACCCGUGGCGAAGGCGGCCCACUGGGCCGGUGCUGACGCUGAGGCGCGAAGGCGUGGGGAGCGAACGGG